RNAcentral lists this ribosomal RNA (250 nucleotides) under uncultured bacterium. RNAcentral's name for it is "partial 16S ribosomal RNA". It matches the Rfam family "Bacterial small subunit ribosomal RNA", at positions 524 to 773 of the family's 1533-position model. The record is from RNAcentral.
UACAGAGGGUGCAAGCGUUAAUCGGAAUUACUGGGCGUAAAGGGUGUGUAGGUGGCGGUGUAAGUUAGGUGUGAAAUCCUCGGGCUUAACCUGAGAAUUGCGCUUAAUACUGCAUUGCUAGAGUACUGUAGAGGGUAGUGGAAUUUCCAGUGUAGCGGUGAAAUGCGUAGAUAUUGGAAGGAACACCAGUGGCGAAGGCGACUACCUGAAUAGAUACUGACACUGAGGCACGAAAGCGUGGGUAGCAAAC